RNAcentral lists this unclassified non-coding RNA (225 nucleotides) under Hevea brasiliensis (rubber tree). Lineage: Eukaryota; Viridiplantae; Streptophyta; Magnoliopsida; Malpighiales; Euphorbiaceae. The record is from RNAcentral.
GUUUUUAUGUGUGUAGUUUCAACAGUCCUGCAAGCAGAUCAAUCACAUGUUGAUUAAACAACAAAUUACAGGUGAAGGCGUAAAAGUAAUACAAUUUCUAAAUUGCAUGAAACAUAAAGGAUUUCUACAGUACCUACUUCAAUGAAAAUGAUGGUUUACAGUAGACGAUUGAGUCGACCUAAGGACAGUAGGUUUUAAGUCCUUUUCUCUUGCAUCCAUUCUACA